RNAcentral lists this transfer RNA (75 nucleotides) under Cytophagales bacterium. RNAcentral describes it as "tRNA-OTHER". It matches the Rfam family "tRNA". From Rfam's summary of the family: Transfer RNA (tRNA) molecules are approximately 80 nucleotides in length. Their secondary structure includes four short double-helical elements and three loops (D, anti-codon, and T loops). Lineage: Bacteria; Pseudomonadati; Bacteroidota; Cytophagia; Cytophagales. The record is from RNAcentral.
GUCCCUGUCGUCUAGCGGUCUAGGACGCUCUCUUUCGGGUGAGAAACGGUGGUUCAAAUCCAUCUAGGGACACCA